AAGCAGGUCUUGGAUAAAGCCUGACAACUCCCAAUGGGACUGGAAGUCCUCAGUUCUCUCCAGUCCCCACAGGGCUACAUGCUCCUACUUAGUGGCUGCAGUAUCAAUGUGUGCUGCCAUCUGUGGCUGGAGUUUUAAGAUGGCAAACCAGCCUGACCAAUGACCUCCAUCCCUCCCAUGGGAGCUCCAGGUCCACAUUUGCAGGGUGGACAGACGGUUGCUGUGUUUUUAUUUACUCCUCUAUGUGUUGUCCCUGCAUCCCAGCAUCCAAGAGAACAGGUUACAUCUAUGGACUUUCCAUGCAGAAAAUGAGGUCAGCAAUUGAUAAAUGGUAUCUCAUGAAGUUUUGGAAACUCUGUAUUGCAAAGGAAAUGGUGAGUAAAGAGUCGGCACAUGGAAUAGGAGAAAAUCUCAGUUAGCUACAUAUGGUGCAGGGGAUUAGGUCUAGAAUAUACAGUGAACUCAAACAGCUAAGCUUCAAGAAAACAAACAACUCAACUGAAAAUGAACUAUGGAACCAAGCAAAAAGUUCUUAAAACAAGAAAUAUAAAUGACUGUAAAUACAUUUUAAAAAUAAGCAGGUCACUAUCCUUAGCUAGUAGGGAAAUGCAGAUCAAAGCUACUUUCAGAUUUCAUCUCACCUCAAGAAUGGUCAAAUUAGGAAUCCAAAUGACAACAAAUUCGGGUGUGGAUGUCAGGGAAGGGCAGCUCUUACAUUUUGUAGGAGCAUAGACUAAUACAGGAACUGUGGACUAGAAAUAGAACUACCAUACGACCCAGCUUGGGCAGAUAGCCAAAGGACUUUAUGUCACCCUACAGAGAUCUGUGUUCACUGCAGCUCAAUUCACAAUAGUUGGGAAAUGGAAUCCACCAGCACAUUUAUCAACUGGUGAAUGGGUAAUGAAAACAUAGUACGAAUACACAAUGGGAUAUUACUCAGCUACAAAGAAAAAUGAAAUCGUGAAAUUUGCAGGUAAGUGGAUGGGAACUGGAAAAACUUAUAUGAGUGGGGUCACGAUAGAUCCCAACUUUCAAUCUCACACCUGAUUUGUGUCAUGCUGGGGAUGGAACUCAAGCAAACACUCGACCAAUGAAGCUACACCUCCUGCUCAAAAGCCAGCUUCUAUACUGUGUUGGACACCUCUUAACCGGAUUUGUAUAUUAACCAUGCAUCUAAUCACCUUACUGAA
This is a non-coding RNA of Myodes glareolus (Bank vole), 1190 nucleotides long. NCBI's taxonomy places the organism in Eukaryota, Metazoa, Chordata, Mammalia, Rodentia, Cricetidae. The record is from RefSeq and is a predicted model, not a curated record.